Molecule: ribosomal RNA, 422 nt
Filed under: uncultured archaeon
Lineage: Archaea
Description: partial 16S ribosomal RNA
Rfam family: Archaeal small subunit ribosomal RNA
Source: RNAcentral
CUACGGGUGGCACCAGUUAGGAAUAAUCUACAAUGCGCGCAAGCGUGAUAGUUUGAGCCAGAGUGCUUUUCUAUUUGAAAAGCUUUUGUGGAAUGUAAAAAGUUCCGCGAAUAAGGACUGGGUAAGACGAGUGCCAGCCGCCGCGGUAAUACUCGCGGUCCAAGUCGCAGCCAUUUUUAUUGGGUCUAAAACAUCCGUAGCUUGCUUGAAAAGUUUCUUGUGAAAUCCGGCCUCUUAAGGGUUGGGCGCGCGAGAAAUACUCUCAAGCUAGAGACCGGGAGACGUAGCGAGUAUGUUCAAAGUAGCGGUAAAAUGUGUUAAUCUUGAGCAGACUAACAAUAGCGAAGGCAUGUUACGAGCACGGUUCUGACAGUAAGGGAUGAAGGCUAGGGGCGCAAAACGGAUUAGAUACCCUAGUAGUC